RNAcentral lists this unclassified non-coding RNA (198 nucleotides) under uncultured Inocybe. RNAcentral's name for it is "sequence contains ITS2". Lineage: Eukaryota; Fungi; Basidiomycota; Agaricomycetes; Agaricales; Cortinariaceae. The record is from RNAcentral.
AGCUCUCAACUACAGCUAGUUUUAUUCUAGCUGUAGCUUGGAUGUGGGGGUUAUCUUCUUUGCUGGCUUCAGAUAUAAUUGAAGUCGGCUCCCCUAAAAUGUAUUAGUGGUCUCUGAGCAGAGAAAACGGUGUGAUAAUUAUCUAUGCCUUAGUACUUUGCAUGAACUGCUUCAUAAUCUUAUGAUAAUGUUUGACAA